UGAGUAAACCAGAUGGUCGCGGGUACAAGUGCUGAAAGGCCGUACCUGAGGAAAGUCCGAGCUCCGCAGGGCAGGGUGCUGGAUAACGUCCAGUGGAGGCGACUCCAAGGAAAGUGCCACAGAAAUAAACCGCCUUACAAGAUUGGGGCAGCCAAGCUGACCCCGUUUAUUGAGCGAGAGGCCGGAGCCCUAGAGGCCAGAGUCCAGAGCUCGAGCAGCACAGACUGCGAUGUAAGGUAAGGGUGGAAAGGUGAGGUAAGAGCUCACCAGCGGCAUGGCGACUUGCCGGCUAGGUAAACCCCACCUGGAGCAAGACCGAAUAGAGGAGUAAUGGGGCUGCCCGUCCCGCUCCCGGGUUAGGUUGCUGGAGGCGUCUGGUAACAGGCGUUCGAGAUAGAUGACCGUCCAAGACAGAACUCGGCUUAUAGGUUUACUCACUCC
RNAcentral lists this RNase P RNA (441 nucleotides) under Desulfitobacterium hafniense. RNAcentral describes it as "RNase P RNA component class A". It matches the Rfam family "Bacterial RNase P class A". Rfam says of the family: Ribonuclease P (RNase P) is a ubiquitous endoribonuclease, found in archaea, bacteria and eukarya as well as chloroplasts and mitochondria. Its best characterised activity is the generation of mature 5'-ends of tRNAs by cleaving the 5'-leader elements of precursor-tRNAs. Cellular RNase Ps are ribonucleoproteins. Lineage: Bacteria; Bacillati; Bacillota; Clostridia; Eubacteriales; Desulfitobacteriaceae. The record is from RNAcentral.